RNAcentral lists this ribosomal RNA (421 nucleotides) under uncultured bacterium. Its description in RNAcentral is "partial 16S ribosomal RNA". It matches the Rfam family "Bacterial small subunit ribosomal RNA", at positions 360 to 773 of the family's 1533-position model. The record is from RNAcentral.
AAUAUUGGACAAUGGGGGCAACCCUGAUCCAGCCAUGCCGCGUGUGUUAAGAAGGUCUUCGGAUUGUAAAGCAUUUUAAGUUGGGAGGAAGGGCUUUAGGCUAAUACCCGGAAGUUUUGACGUUACCAACAGAAUAAGCACCGACUAACUCUGGGCCAGCAGCCGCGGUAAUACAUAGGGUGCAAGCGUUAAUCGGAAUUCCUGGGCGUAAAGCGCGCGUAGGUGGUUCAGUAAGAUGGGUGUGAAAUCCCCGGGCUUAACCUGGGAACUGCUUUCAUAACUGCUGAGCUAGAGUACGGUAGAGGGUAGUGGAAUUUCCUGUGUAGCGGUGAAAUGCGUAGAUAUAGGAAAGAACACCAGUUGCGAAGGCGACUACCUGGACUGAUACUGACACUGAGGUGCGAAAGCGUGGGGAGCAAAC